Molecule: ribosomal RNA, 500 nt
Filed under: uncultured bacterium
Lineage: Bacteria
Description: partial 16S ribosomal RNA
Rfam family: Bacterial small subunit ribosomal RNA
Source: RNAcentral
AUUGAACGCUGGCGGCAGGCCUAACACAUGCAAGUCGAGCGGAUUACGGGAGCUUGCUCCUUGAUUCAGCGGCGGACGGGUGAGUGAUGCCUAGGAAUCUGCCUGGUAGUGGGGGACAACGUUUCGAAAGGAAUGCUAAUACCGCAUCCGUCCUACGGGAGAAAGCAGGGGACCUUCGGGCCUUGCGCUAUCAGAUGAGCCUAGGUCGGAUUAGCUAGUUGGUGGUGUAAUGGCUCACCAAGGCGACGAUCCGUAACUGGUCUGAGAGGAUGAUCAGUCACACUGGAACUGAGACACGGUCCAGACUCCUACGGGAGGCAGCAGUGGGGAAUAUUGGACAAUGGGCGAAAGCCUGAUCCAGCCAUGCCGCGUGUGUGAAGAAGGUCUUCGGAUUGUAAAGCACUUUAAGUUGGGAGGAAGGGCAGUAAGCUAAUACCUUGCUGUUUUGACGUUACCGACAGAAUAAGCACCGGCUAACUCUGUGCCAGCCGCCGCGGUAA